Molecule: ribosomal RNA, 460 nt
Filed under: uncultured bacterium
Lineage: Bacteria
Description: partial 16S ribosomal RNA
Rfam family: Bacterial small subunit ribosomal RNA
Source: RNAcentral
CCUACGGGUGGCAGCAGUGAGGAAUAUUGGUCAAUGGGCGGAAGCCUGAACCAGCCAAGUCGCGUGCAGGAUGAAGGUCCUACGGGUUGUAAACUGCUUUUAUCCGGGAAUAACGCCCCUUACGUGUAGGUCUUUGCAUGUACCGUAUGAAUAAGGACCGGCUAAUUCCGUGCCAGCAGCCGCGGUAAUACGGAGGGUCCGGGCGUUAUCCGGAUUUAUUGGGUUUAAAGGGUGCGUAGGCCGCCUGUCAAGCGUGCUGUGAAAUGUCCGGGCUCAACCCGGGCCUGGCCGCGCGAACUGGUGUGCUUGAGUGGGCGGAAAGCAGGCGGAAUUCGUCGUGUAGCGGUGAAAUGCUUAGAUAUGACGAAGAACCCCGAUUGCGAAGGCAGCUUGCUGCAGCGGAACUGACGCUGAUGCUCGAAAGCGCGGGUAUCGAACAGGAUUAGAUACCCUAGUAGUC